This 497-nucleotide ribosomal RNA is filed under the name uncultured bacterium. Its description in RNAcentral is "partial 16S ribosomal RNA". It matches the Rfam family "Bacterial small subunit ribosomal RNA", at positions 28 to 507 of the family's 1533-position model. The record is from RNAcentral.
GAUGAACGCUGGCGGCGUGCCUAAUACAUGCAAGUCGAGCGAACAGACGAGAAGCUUGCUCCUCUGACGUUAGCGGCGGACGGGUGAGUAACACGUGGAUAACCUACCUAUAAGACUGGGAUAACUUCGGGAAACCGGAGCUAAUACCGGAUAAUAUAUUGAACCGCAUGGUUCAAUAGUGAAAGACGGUUUUGCUGUCACUUAUAGAUGGAUCCGCGCCGCAUUAGCUAGUUGGUAAGGUAACGGCUUACCAAGGCAACGAUGCGUAGCCGACCUGAGAGGGUGAUCGGCCACACUGGAACUGAGACACGGUCCAGACUCCUACGGGAGGCAGCAGUAGGGAAUCUUCCGCAAUGGGCGAAAGCCUGACGGAGCAACGCCGCGUGAGUGAUGAAGGUCUUCGGAUCGUAAAACUCUGUUAUUAGGGAAGAACAAAUGUGUAAGUAACUAUGCACGUCUUGACGGUACCUAAUCAGAAAGCCACGGCUAACUACGUG